GACCACCUUUGCACUUAUCUCCCGCCACUCAGCCCCCCCCCCCUUUUCUAUCCACGUGUAUAUGGACAAACUUCAUCGUCCGAUCUCAUUCACGCUGGAGAGCCCACAGGGAGCACAUCUAACUCUUGCUUGAGCUCUAGACUAUUUUCAUUCCCUUAUUUCACUUUGGAUUGGUGCUUUUAUCUAUAGGCUACACCCGCCUGAAAUCUUAGCAACCUAAAGCUGAUAGCAGAUUUGCUGGCACCAGAUCUGUAGACAUCAGACCUACUCAUCCUUCAAGAGUCCAAGUAACAACGCUAGCCACAGACUCGUCACUGGCUUAACUGAUUGGUAGACGCAGCUUAGCUCUGCAACCAUACAAGUUGGACUGCACACGGAGCCUGGAUCCACUACGCCAGCCCACCAGCAGACAGCAUCAGUACCAGCCACACCCGUCUCACCAGUGCAGCACAGGACCAAAAGCUAAGCAACCAGCCUAAUGACACUCAGACCACUUGGUUCUAAUAUCUGAUGAUGAUAGUCCUAUAUAUGUAAAUAAGCUAGAUCCCAUACUAGCAACUGUACAGCAUUUCACCUUUCAUUAUCUUAUUUUGUAUAAUAAACUGUACAUAAGUUUACAUCUAAAUAUAGUAUUUGUUGCCUGCAUUAUAACGCUGUGCUUGUAGUUUAUAUGUGCAAGUAAGGAUUCUCAAACUAUAAAAUCCCCUAGACACCCAAAACGGCCAAUAUC
Molecule: long non-coding RNA, 730 nt
Organism: Biomphalaria glabrata
Lineage: Eukaryota; Metazoa; Mollusca; Gastropoda; Planorbidae
Exons: 2
Source: RefSeq, a predicted model, not a curated record